RNAcentral lists this ribosomal RNA (464 nucleotides) under uncultured bacterium. RNAcentral's name for it is "bacterial SSU rRNA". It matches the Rfam family "Bacterial small subunit ribosomal RNA", at positions 29 to 533 of the family's 1533-position model. The record is from RNAcentral.
AACGAACGCUGGCGGCAGGCUUAACACAUGCAAGUCGAACGCUCGUAGCAAUACGGGAGUGGCGGACGGGUGAGUAACGCGUGGGAACGUGCCCUGAGGUACGGAAUAACUGCGGGAAACUGCAGCUAAUACCGUAUGAGCCCCGUGAGGGGGAAAGAUUUAUCGCCUUAGGAGCGGCCCGCGUCGGAUUAGCUAGUUGGUGGGGUAACGGCUUACCAAGGCUUCGAUCCGUAGCUGGUCUGAGAGGACGAUCAGCCACACUGGGACUGAGACACGGCCCAGACUCCUACGGGAGGCAGCAGUGGGGAAUCUUGCGCAAUGGGGGCAACCCUGACGCAGCCAUGCCGCGUGAAUGAUGAAGGCCUUAGGGUUGUAAAGUUCUUUUGCCCGUGACGAUGAUGACGGUAACGGGAGAAUAAGCUCCGGCUAACUUCGUGCCAGCAGACGCGGUAAAGUAGUCGUGU